Molecule: ribosomal RNA, 215 nt
Filed under: Salmonella enterica subsp. enterica
Lineage: Bacteria; Pseudomonadati; Pseudomonadota; Gammaproteobacteria; Enterobacterales; Enterobacteriaceae
Description: partial 23S ribosomal RNA
Rfam family: Bacterial large subunit ribosomal RNA
Source: RNAcentral
GGGUUGUGAGGUUAAGCGACUAAGCGUACACGGUGGAUGCCCUGGCAGUCAGAGGCGAUGAAGGACGUGCUAAUCUGCGAUAAGCGCCGGUAAGGUGAUAUGAACCGUUAUAACCGGCGAUUUCCGAAUGGGGAAACCCAGUGUGAUUCGUCACACUAUCAUUAACUGAAUCCAUAGGUUAAUGAGGCGAACCGGGGGAACUGAAACAUCUAAGU